This is a non-coding RNA of Dermacentor andersoni, 368 nucleotides long. Lineage: Eukaryota; Metazoa; Arthropoda; Arachnida; Ixodida; Ixodidae. The record is from RefSeq and is a predicted model, not a curated record.
GGCAAAACGAUUCAUGAAGCUUGAUCAUGCCUCGACAAAAAUAUUCAGGCGCCUCCUCCUAAGAUGUAGUGUCUCUUCCUCUGGUUACGAGCGUUUGUUAUGAGCGUGUACAAGUCUGCAGGUCGAUAUCAAAAGGAGUCAGAGAACAAGGCAGUCAGCUUCCUCGUUGCCUGUUAUCAAGACGUGAUGGAAUCCAAUGGUCAACAACGGCCGCUCCGAUAUCACAGGCAGUGCCUGCAUACGUGAAUGCAGCGCACGAGAGGACUUCCUAGGUUUCCUUUCAUAAAGCGAUUGCGAGAGUCACGGGAGCCGCAGAAAAUAAAAACGCUGCUGCCAGAAGACUCAGCUUAUUUGUAGCAGUGUUGGAA